AAUACCCCAUAUGCUUUCGAGUGAAAUGGAUUUUUCCGCCUAAAGAGAAGCUUGCGGCUGAUUAGCUUGUUGGUGAGGUAAUGGCUUACCAAGGCGACGAUCAGUAUCUGGUUUGAGAGGACGAUCAGACACACUGGAACUGAGACACGGUCCAGACUCCUACGGGAGGCAGCAGUGGGGAAUUUUCCGCAAUGGGCGAAAGCCUGACGGAGCAAUCUCGCGUGAGGGAUGACGGCCUAUGGGUUGUAAACCUCUUUUUUCAGGGAGGAAUAAACUGACGUGUACCUGAAGAAUAAGCAUCGGCUAACUCCGUGCCAGCAGCCGCGGUAAGACGGAGGAUGCAAGUGUUAUCUGGAAUCACUGGGCGUAAAGCGUCUGUAGGUGGUUUAAUAAGUCAACUGUUAAAUCUUGAAGCUUAACUUCAAAAUCGCAGUCGAAACUAUUAGACUAGAGUAUAGUAGGGGUAAAGGGAAUUUCCAGUGGAGCGGUGAAAUGCGUAGAGAUUGGAAAGAACACCGAUGGCGAAGGCACUUUACUGGGCUAUUACUGACACUCAGAGACGAAAGCUAGGGUAGCAAAUGGGAUUAGAUACCCCAGUAGUCCUAGCCGUAGACAAUGGAUACUAGAUGUUGAACAGAUCGACCUGUGCAGUAUUAAAGCUAACGCGUUAAGUAUCCCGCCUG
RNAcentral lists this ribosomal RNA (683 nucleotides) under uncultured bacterium. Its description in RNAcentral is "bacterial SSU rRNA". It matches the Rfam family "Bacterial small subunit ribosomal RNA", at positions 165 to 875 of the family's 1533-position model. The record is from RNAcentral.